Molecule: ribosomal RNA, 458 nt
Filed under: uncultured bacterium
Lineage: Bacteria
Description: bacterial SSU rRNA
Rfam family: Bacterial small subunit ribosomal RNA
Source: RNAcentral
CGCCGUCACUCCUACGGGAGGCAGCAGUGGGGAAUCUUAGACAAUGGGCGCAAGCCUGAUCUAGCCAUGCCGCGUGAGUGACGAAGGCCUUAGGGUCCGUAAAGCUCUUUCGCCAGGGAUGAUAAUGACAGUACCUGGUAAAGAAACCCCCGGCUAACUCCGUGCCAGCAGCCGCGGUAAUACGGAGGGGGUUAGCGUUGUUCGGAAUUACUGGGGCGUAAAGCGCACGUAGGCGGACUGGAAAGUUGGGGGUGAAAUCCCCGGGGCUCAACCUCGGAACUGCCUCCAAAACUACUAGUCUAGAGUUCGAGAGAGGUGAGUGGAAUUCCGAGUGUAGAGGUGAAAUUCGUAGAUAUUCGGAGGAACACCAGUGGCGAAGGCGGCUCACUGGCUCGAUACUGACGCGUUCGAGGUUGCGAAAGUGUGGGGACGCAAACAGGAUUAGACUACCCUGGUAG